GACGAACGCUGGCGGCGUGCUUAACACAUGCAAGUCGAACGGAAAGGCCCUGCUUUUUUGGGGUGCUCGAGUGGCGAACGGGUGAGUAACACGUGAGUAACCUGCCCUUGACUUUGGGAUAACUUCACGAAACUGGGGCUAAUCCCGGAUAGGAGCUCCUGCUUCAUGGUGGGGGUUGGAAAGUUUCGGCGGUUGGGGAUGGACUCGCGGCUUAUCAGCUUUUUGGUGGGGUAGUGGCUUACCAAGGCUUUGACGGGUAGCCGGCCUGAGAGGGUGACCGGCAACAUUGGGACUGAGAUACGACCCAGACUCCGACGGGAGGGAGCAGUGGGGAAGAGUGCAAAGUAGGCGGGAGGCGGGAGCGGCAAAGCCGCGUGGGGUAUGAGGGCCUUCGGGUUGUAAACCACUGUCGCCUGUGACGAAGCGGGAGUGACGGUAAUGGGUAAAGAAGCACCGGCUAACUACGUG
RNAcentral lists this ribosomal RNA (468 nucleotides) under uncultured bacterium. RNAcentral's name for it is "partial 16S ribosomal RNA". It matches the Rfam family "Bacterial small subunit ribosomal RNA", at positions 28 to 507 of the family's 1533-position model. The record is from RNAcentral.